RNAcentral lists this long non-coding RNA (575 nucleotides) under Mytilus galloprovincialis (Mediterranean mussel). Lineage: Eukaryota; Metazoa; Mollusca; Bivalvia; Mytilida; Mytilidae. The record is from RNAcentral.
GGGACUGGCUGCCCAAGAGUAGGCCCGCUACAGUCAUGCUUCAUUGAUUCCCUAUACAAUCAACCAAAUUUCCCCCACAAAAAGGUGAUGCGAGCACCUUGACCCUCCCUCGAAGUCCACCUCUGUAGUCUUCAAAUUUUUAAUAGUCAUAGUUUGAUUAAGAAAAACCGAGACCAGGCAACAAUUUAAACCGAUAGAAAGUCAUCAAAAUAAUGUAACUUCAUGCCCUCCUUUACUUUAUUCAGUGAAAGUUUUGGUCUGUAUUCUUAAACUGUAUUAUGAGAAUGAUAUUUAUAUCAACUUCAUAUCCAUGUAAAUCCAUUUUGAAUGUUAACUUAAUUACUCAUAAUGUUGGGGACAUUUGCAUAUAAGUCUGCUAAUCCCCCUUAUGUCAUUUCUUUUUAGAAUAGCGGUUUUCAUUUAUUCUUUGUUUGAUUUUAAAAUAAUAUGUUUUCUUUUAUCGUGACUGCUAAAUAGGGUAUUCAUUAAGUGGAAAAAAACAUUCGUAAAUUUUGAGUUACGAUCUUCUUUUUAUAAAAACAAGUCAAAGUUACGAUCAUCUGUAGACGAAGUUA